AACGAACGCUGGCGGCGUGCCUAACACAUGCAAGUCGUGCGAGAAAGUUCCUUCGGGAGCGAGUAAAGCGGCGCACGGGUGAGUAACACGUAGGUAACCUGCCCCCCAGUCUGGAACAACUAGAGGAAACUCUAGCUAAUGCCGGAUGAGACCACGAUCCCUUCGGGGUUGCGGCCAAAGAUGGCCUCUACUUGUAAGCUAUCGCUGAGGGAUGGGCCUGCGGGCCAUUAGCUUGUUGGUGAGGUAACGGCUCACCAAGGCUGUGAUGGCUAGCUGGUCUGAGAGGAUGACCAGCCACACUGGGACUGAGACACGGCCCAGACUCCUACGGGAGGCAGCAGUGGGGAAUAUUGCGCAAUGGCGAAAGCCUGACGCAGCGACGCCGCGUGGGUGAUGAAGGCCUCGGUCGU
Molecule: ribosomal RNA, 410 nt
Filed under: uncultured bacterium
Lineage: Bacteria
Description: bacterial SSU rRNA
Rfam family: Bacterial small subunit ribosomal RNA
Source: RNAcentral